CGUGGCUUCCACCGCAGCGGGAAAGUAUGUGUGCCCACGGGUGAGGAGCCCCCCCACGGCAGGCCGUUUGUUCCCCUGAGGCCCUCGUAUCCUGCAACUCUUUUGCGUUUCUGUAGCACUGUUUGUGUGCUGCUCUCCCCUGGCUAAUCCUUCUGUCGCUCUUGGUGUUUCUUUUUUUAAAUCUGAUUGUACUUGCUCUUUCCACUGUACUGUUUUCAGAUACUAGCUUUUCUCCCGAAACACGUGCUUAAAAUUGUUGUUUCCAAGAUGGGUGAAGAACUAGAUAACGCUCAAAGGUGAAGCUGGUGGGUAGAGAAAGAGAUUGAGAAUUUGGGGCCUGAAUGUCGUUGGCUGCUCGAGGGAUGCAACAGAAGAAAACUCAGAUGUGAUAGGAUCACAUCCUGGAACGGGAAUAAAUCCAGGAGAUGACAGCAAGCAGAAGGAAUUUUUGUGAGGUUCUUUCUGAGAGCACUCCCCCACAUCACUCUGUUAAGAGCCAUGGAAAACGAAUCUACUCAAAGAAUAAGGUUUUUUAUGCUGAC
Molecule: long non-coding RNA, 542 nt
Filed under: Struthio camelus australis
Lineage: Eukaryota; Metazoa; Chordata; Aves; Struthioniformes; Struthionidae
Description: lncRNA (ENSSCUG00000010592.1)
Source: RNAcentral